RNAcentral lists this ribosomal RNA (120 nucleotides) under Pinus hwangshanensis. Lineage: Eukaryota; Viridiplantae; Streptophyta; Pinopsida; Pinales; Pinaceae. The record is from RNAcentral.
GGGUGCGAUCAUACCAGCGUCAAUGCACCGGAUCCCAUCAGAACUCCGCAGUUAAGCGCGCUUGGGCUAGAGUAGUACUGGGAUGGGUGACCUCCCGGGAACUCCUGGUGUUGCACCCUC